CACCACUUCUUUCAGGUCACUCUCGGGUUUCCCGGCCACCAAGAAGGGCCACGUCUGCGGGAAAGAAGAGGGUGGAGGAGAAAACACGAGUAAAAAUACAGGGAGUAUCAACUGCAUCCUGCCAACACCUCAUAAGACUCCAAGGCUUUACCAAGAUCUCCUUCCACCUUCCCCGGGAUAAAUGAGGACAAGUGCUUCCUUGAAUCUUUAUGGUGAUGGAAAAGUGGAGAUUUAAAUGACCACAUCCACCCUAAGAUUUAUUGUGAGAAUGAUUGAUGUUAUAAACCAGGAAAGGACUCUUCCCACAGCAGGGAUGACAGAAAUAUCAAGUUGAAGUUGCCUUUGUCUUCACGUACAAAUGACCCCGUACUACAACACAGAAAGUAUAAUAAUUUCAUCUGAGGUUCAAGACAGCAGUAAGAGAACACCCAGCAGGAUAUAGUAAAAGAAGACAGAUCAGUCUCUCUCCUGAUAAGAAGAGUCACUAAGAGGAACAUCUGCAACAACUAGUUUCCUGGAACUCAGAUAUACACGUGAUGUCUGGAGCUCUGGCAGCCAUGUUGGAUGAUGAGAUGAAGGAGUUACCAGCACUAAAAUUGGCAAAGAAGACCUGGAAAGUGUCUGGGUUGCUGAAGAGCUCAUGAAGCCACUGCAUCAGGCUGGACUGCUGAAUAUCAGUUUUCUUGACAGAACAAAAUCUUGUUUGUGUAAAUCACUAUUAUCCAGGUCUCUUUUAGUUGCAGCAAAAUUCAGUUUCUACAGAUAAAGUAAGAAUCAUUCGUUCUCAUCCCACCCAUAUGUCUUUUAAAGAAAUUUUUCUUUUAUUGACCGAUCUUCUGAUACCUCCUCAUUUCUCUAUAACUUCCUAGGGAAAGACAAACUUUGGGUGGCCCACUGUUUUCAUGUACAAGAUUUCUAGCCAUUUGUCUUGGUAUUCCACAUCUAUGACAGCAGUUUGAUCUCAUUAUGAAGUAACAGCUCAAACAGUAGUUCUACAUGAGGAUGAGGGUGGGGGAGUUGUAGAAUCAUUUUGGGGAGUUUUUCCAAACUACACAUUCCUAGCUCCAUUAUCUCUGCAGAGAUUCUGAUAUUCUUUAUCAGCUCACAUUUGAGACUUACUUAUCUGUAGCACAUCCGCAAGUUUUUACUUGCUUCCAAUUGGCAAAAUGUAACAUUAAAAACAAACUAGGAAUUCUGUGAAGUGAAAAACUGCCUAGAGUAUUACAAGCUAGUAGAAAAAAGGUAUACAUUUUUAAAUGUUUUGAAAUCCAGUUAGAGGCUCACAACCUUUUAAUUUAAAUGUGUCUUGAAUCUUAGUUUGAAAAGCCUCAGUCAAAUAUAAGUGGCCUAAUGUAAAUGACCAUAUAUUUUUUCUCCACUAGUUUCUUCCUAGAAUUGCUCCUUCAGAAAUGUGGGGAGAAAGUUUGGAGGAAGACACUGGGCUAUAUGUCUGUCAAACCACUAUUUUUCUUUUCAUUAUCACACUUUCAGUAAUAUAUAUUAAACACUAAACAUAUGUGUUGCUGUGCUAGGUACUAUAUGCAUUUGCCAAUGGCAAAACACAAUUAUCUCCUGUUUCCAUCAAAAGCUCUUCCAGGUCUCUGUGGGAGGACUCAGGGUCUUCUUUUUACUGUCUUGGUGGGUGGCCUGUUGAUUUGGGCUUACAUGGCUCAGCAUGUACUCAUUUGGCUAAGCAGUAAUUAGACCAAGACUGUGGCAUUUCUUGCUUUGUCUACAAGAUGUGGUGAUAGAAGGGACAAAGACUGAAUUAUAUAUAUACCUGAUAUAUUUGAUGAAGAAGUAGUGUGUUCGGGACAGGGGAACUCUAUAAAUAAAAAUAAUCAAAAACAGAAGCAAAAAGUGAAAAGAGAGCAGGAUUACAUAUAACAAGGAAAUAACCUUAGCUCAGAUGUGGCAGCAGCAUUGCCGAUUUUAAAAUUGAAAAAGAAAUCGUAGACUGCCUUCAAUGAUUAGUUCCACAAUUAGAGAGAAACUAUUAGGAUGCAAAUACUGUACUUGUGUGUACUCAGAGCAUUGCAGAACACAAUGUCUUGUGCAAAUCAUAUGUUCAGGGAAUGUGUAUUAUUGACUACUUUUUUUUAAGCAGUAAUUUUAUGCUUUGGGUGAUACUGAAAGUUCAUUUCAAUUUGAGUAUGCUUUCGAUUUAAAAAUUUUAUUUGUGCAACUUUAAUUGUACAGUCUUAUAUUCUUUGCUAAUUUAUAUAAGUUGUGUGAAGUCAGGGAUUUAUUAUGGCAUUCAGCACAAGCUUUUAAUAAAUAAUGGGUGGAUUCAGUAAGUACAAGGGUAAAACCUCAGCAUUUUUCUGAGAUUUGACUUUUUACCUUAUUAAUUUUCUUUUUACCUUAUUGACUAAGACAUAAGCCUUACGUACUGGAUUUGAGAGAAUGGCUGUGGUCAUCAGCUGUCUACCUGAGUCCAGUCUCUUCUCUGCUUUAGUGAAGGGAAUAUUGCCAGGCAAAUGCUAAGACUUCUUCCUUGGCUUUUGAGUGAAAGUGACUUGUGUCAGAUCUGGGCUGGCUGAGGCUUUUUAUAAGUGUACCUGUGUGGUUUUCCAUGCUCUUCUCCAGUUUCUGCCCACUGGAUACAGAUGAUGAUGCAUCACUAGAAGAUAGGAGAGCCACAUGGUAGAUUGUGGAGAGAGGUCCACUAGUAUGAAUACCAGCCCUUUGCUGCUACAUAUGUGAGAAAUAAACUGCUAUUGCUUUAACUCACUAAAAUGUCCAGGUCUAUUGAUUACAUAAGUUUAGUUUAUUUUAACCAGUACAGAUUUUAACUUAUUUAUUUUACAUGAAAAUUAAUUAUUCAAUCAUUAAAAUACUAAUACAUAAUUAAAGUAGAAACAGAUAUAUGCUAUGUACUACAAAAGUCUGAAAACGUAGCUGAUAUAGUGACCACUUUCAAAGAUGGGAAAGAUUUUAGAAAAAUGAGAUUUCUGGGAGCAAACUCACAGGAUGGAGACUGUAUGUUGAGUAAAGAUCUUGAUUUUUGGUGCCUUAACAUGACUGGAGUUCUAUUCCUUGUUUUGCUGCUUAAGUAGUUGUGAUCCCAGGAGGCUGGGCUAUGGUUUUCUCAUCAGUUGAAAGAGGUUAACCUACUGCUACUUCCAAAAAGGCUAAAAUUAGGGAAGAUACUCUGUUUUUGAUGAGUUGCCAUAGUUUUUUGGGCAAUUUGAGAUUAUCAUUGGGUUUGUAUUAACUCUGUCCUAUCACAGCUUGCUUCUGUUGCUGUACACAGUGUUCAUGCUUUGUGAAUUAUCAGUAAAAUGUCAUCAGGUUUUCUAAAAAAAAUUACUUAGUUUACUUUCAGCCUCUUGCUUUAGUAUAUUUUUCAAUUUAUAAAACUAAUAGUGCAUGAAAUAAAUGUAUUGAUUUACACAUUUAGUAGUAUGC
Molecule: long non-coding RNA, 3411 nt
Organism: Cercocebus atys (sooty mangabey)
Lineage: Eukaryota; Metazoa; Chordata; Mammalia; Primates; Cercopithecidae
Exons: 5
Source: RefSeq, a predicted model, not a curated record